Molecule: ribosomal RNA, 433 nt
Filed under: uncultured bacterium
Lineage: Bacteria
Description: partial 16S ribosomal RNA
Rfam family: Bacterial small subunit ribosomal RNA
Source: RNAcentral
AACGAACGCUGGCGGCAUGCCUAACACAUGCCAGUCGAACGAGACCUUCGGGUCUAGUGGCGCCCGGGUUUGUAACGCGUGGGAAUCUUCCCUUGGGUUCGGCAUAACAGUUGGAAACGACUGCUAAUACCGGAUGAUGACUUAAAUCCAAAGAUUUAUCGACCAGGGAUGAGCCCGCGUAGGAUUCGCUAGUUGUUGGGGUAAAGGCAUACGAAGGCGAGGAUCCUUAGCUGGUCAGAGAGGAAGAUCAGCGACACUGGGAGUGAGAAGCGGCCGAGAAUCCUACGGGAGGCAGGAAUGGGGAAUGGUGGAAAGUGGGGGGAGGGAUGAACGAGCAAUGACGGGAGAAUGAUGAAGGCAGGAAGGUAGUAAAACGCAUGUAACCGGGAUGAUAAUGACAGUACCGGGAGAAUAAGCCACGGCUAACUCCGUG